CCGCAGAGAGCCUGUGCUUUGCCCUCAGGGGUCGUUGGUGCUCUUUAUUUAGUUUCCUUCUCCUCCCGUGUUCCUGUUUCUCCCCCAUCUGCCUUUCCUAGGUAAUGCGAAAAUGUAUCCUCCCCCCCCUUCCUGAAAGAGAGGUUCCUUUUUGGUACAGAUUCUUCCCCUCAACCCUUUCUUCAUCUACUGCCACCCUCUAGGUUCCCUCCACCUCCCCCUCCACCUGCUUCAAAAGAAAUCUGUGGGAAGGGUAGCAGGAAGGGCUGCAGCAGAAACUGCAGAUGGAAUGACAGAGCAGAAUUCUCUGUGUGUAAAGUGGGAGGUUCACAGAGCAGUAUCUUGGUUGGGGAAUGUGCCUGUAAUUGCACGAGCUGUUCGAUGUAGCUGACUUCGAUGAAGCCUCAAAUGUGCCAGUAGUCUUUAUCUCUCCGACACCCCCCUCCCCCCAACUUUUCUUCCCAAAGAGGAGUAAAGCAAACAUACUCAGAUUCUAGCCGACUUGUCUACCCUGGUAGACAUUUAAUUGUGCUGCAAGCCCCCAGGUCCAAGUUCAGGGUACAAAUUACUUUUGCAGUCUCUGGGGUAUUGGGAGUUUUGCAAGCUGCGUUUACACACAGUGACACAAAGUGUAGCUGGAGCCAUUCUUUUCUAGGAGGAAGAUGGGGUUUAGCCCAAUCUGUUUUGGAGCUGAGGGAAAGCCAGCUCAAUGAUUUUUUUUUUUUUUUUUUUUAAUUGGCAAGAAUGAAUGAGAUUGCCUUGGGUGGGGUAUAUGCAUGGGUUUGGAUUUCACUCUGAAUCAAGCUGAUUUUGUUUGAAGCUGAGAUAUGGGAAGGGCCGAUGCUUGGAUAGGUUCUGCAUUUGUCUAGUGCCACUCCAGCUCCCAUAAGAACGUCCAUCAAAUCGCCAUUUUAGUGAUCUUUCUUAGCAAAGGCAUCUUGGUAUGAAUUAUUUCAGACACUCACCCUUCCUAUCGCAUCACUGCCCUUAGUGAAGGCAGUGGGACAUCAGGAAAGCCUGCCUUCCCCCAGAUAGUAUCAGGCCUUCCUUUAAAAUAGGGCCCCGAGGAGACAGAGCUCUGUGACCAUAUGAUGUAUGGGGUCUGAGAUUCCUAAGCCUUUACCUAGCUCACUUGAUCCAGGGCUUAGGGAAACUUGGAUGGGGUGUCAGGAAGAAAUGAAACCCUGCCAGUGCCUGUCUUACACAAAGGAACACUGACAGCAGUGCAGCUGACGAGGAAGCACGUGAAGGUGGCAGAGAGCCUCACUGCUUCUUAAAAGCAUCAUUUCUGCUUCUGUCACCCUGAGAAGGCCAAAUGGGUGGAAGUCAAUCACACACUGGUUCCUUCUCCAUAGGACAAAGGACAUCUAGCUAAUGAUGCUUCUUACUCUCACUCAGCAGGAGUUACGCUCUCUCUCAGGUGUUUUUCAAGGGUAGUGUUGAUGGAUGUCAUUGCUCACUCUCUCACUUGUGAUCAGACCACUCCUGUCUGGAGGAAGCCAGUCUGAGGGCCAGGGUUGGUUUGUGCCUAUGGAAACAAGAUUUCCUCACGUUGUGGCGCUAACUGACCCUUUAUUCAUCCAGUAAAUAUGUAUUGAACAUAUUUUAUGUGCCAGAUGCUGAGGGAAUACAGCGAUAAUAAGAAAUUUUCUCUGCCUUCCAGGAGCUCAUAAUCUACCAGAGGAGACAGAAAUGAAUAAUUCUUACAGGGAAAGGGUGAGAGGGGAACUCAUAUUUGUUGAUUGCCUACUUUACACCAAGUUUUAGUAGGCUAUUGACAUAGAUGUCAAGUAAUUCCCCUGGGUGAUCCUUUGAGGGUAGGUGGUGGUAUUCCCAUUUUUCAGGUGAAGAAAUGAAGGCUCAGAAAAGUAAGGUGACUUGCCUAGAGAGACAGCAGCCAGUAAGAGGUAAAGUCAGACUUCCAAAGACUUUCUCAGCUCUGUCCUGUACUCUCUGUCUCUGCCAACACUGCCCUGGUUCAGACCUCUGUUGACUUUUACCUGAACGAUUGCCUUAUCCUCCCUUUGGCUUCCCUUUCUCUGAUCAACCCUCCUAAAUCUAUAAACCUAAAAAUCUUGUAAA
Long non-coding RNA from Lutra lutra (Eurasian river otter), 2082 nucleotides. RefSeq lists it as uncharacterized. Lineage: Eukaryota; Metazoa; Chordata; Mammalia; Carnivora; Mustelidae. The record is from RefSeq and is a predicted model, not a curated record. The transcript has 2 exons.